UGUACCUACGGGAGGCAGCAGUGAGGAAUAUUGGUCAUUGGGAGAGAUCCUGAACCAGCCAAGCCGCGUGAGGGAAGACGGCCCUAUGGGUUGUAAACCUCUUUUGUCGGAGAACAAAACCCGGGACGUGUCCCGGACUGCGUGUAUCCGAAGAAAAAGCAUCGGCUAACUCCGUGCCAGCAGCCGCGGUAAUACGGAGGAUGCGAGCGUUAUCCGGAUUUAUUGGGUUUAAAGGGUGCGUAGGCGGGCUGUUAAGUCAGCGGUA
Molecule: ribosomal RNA, 265 nt
Filed under: uncultured bacterium
Lineage: Bacteria
Description: partial 16S ribosomal RNA
Rfam family: Bacterial small subunit ribosomal RNA
Source: RNAcentral